Long non-coding RNA from Brassica napus (rape), 1350 nucleotides. RefSeq lists it as uncharacterized. The record is from RefSeq and is a predicted model, not a curated record. NCBI's taxonomy places the organism in Eukaryota, Viridiplantae, Streptophyta, Magnoliopsida, Brassicales, Brassicaceae. The transcript has 2 exons.
AAGUUUAUAUGGGAUAGAUAAUUCAUUCUUUCGGUGUUCAAAUCUCAUUGCAGCUCGAAAUCUACUGAACUGGAUGAUCUAUAGAGGAGUGACUUAGCUACGAUAAAUCUGAGAAGAAGCAGCUUCUUUUAUUAUUUUUGAAAGAUUAUGUAAUGUGAGGCUGAUGCAGUGGCAAAUUCAACGCUCUUAUCUCUAAAUUUGUCUUUUCUUUGUUUCGGGUAAACUUGCUUUUUGUUUAAUGAAUUGUAGUUCAGCCAGAAAAAUGUAACUAUGUAUAAUGAUAUUUGCUUGGUGUUUACCACAUUAUAGCUUCAAUGUAACAAAAGCAAUCCACGUUUAAGUUUUGAAUGAAUCCUCAAAAAUUUAACGAGAUGUGUCUAGCCAGCAUAUAUAUAUAUAUAUAUAUAUAUAUAUAUAUAUUCUAAAAUGUAGAAGUACUAUAUCUAAUUAUUACGAGUAUACAUAUCUCUUUUGUAAAAUGUAUGGACACUAUAUCUAAUUAUUACAAAUUAUUUCAAAAUCAACAAAUAUUAAAAUGUUAUAAAAUACUCUAAUAUAAAAUGCUAAUAUAGUCUUAUAGAAUAAUUCUAGGAACAAUGAUGCAAGAUUGAAAGAAAAUUAAUGCAUAGUCAUGUGUUAGACAAAUACUUUAUUUUUCAUGACCAUAAAAUUAAUUUAAAUUUCACUAGAACAUAUAUUAUCAUCGAAAUCCGGCGCGUAGCGCCAGGCUACCCUAGUGUAUAUAUAUAUAUUAUAUGCUUCCAAUAAGCAUCCCCUUCUUGAUAUAUUUUAUAAAAUUCGCUUUUACGCUUCCAAAGGUUUCUGCUUCCGUGCAUCUUCCUGUGAUUCCAUGCAACAUAAGUUUGCAGAAUUUGUUCGUUUCCAAGUUCUUUUAACAAUUUUGCGAAUCCACUUCCUUCUCACGGUUAGCAACUGACAUGGCCCUUAUUCUGCCCCUGCAGACGAGUGUGAUACAGUGCCUUGCUUUUUCAUUUUCCAGGCAUUAGGUGAUCCUCUUUGAAAUGCUUUAACAUGUGAGAGUUAUCACCACAUAUGAGAAGGUCAUCAGCAUAUAUCAACACACCCAACUCAAUAUUUUUAAACGAGUAUGAGAAGAGUGAGUAGUCUUCAUAAAACUAAAAAAAAUCAAAAACGAAGUACCGCAUCUGAGAGAGGCAAAGAAUGCUAAUGUAAAUGAAAUCUGAAAGAUGCAUUGAAUUGUGUGUACAAUAUAUAGACUGUGUAAAUAUACUUGCCUAAGUACCCUACUUGUAAUGUAUUAUAUAUAUGGUGUAAUCUCAGUAUAAUAAGAUCAUUCAAUCAUUAACCUCUAUUGAGUACAUUCAACAA